UCUACGGGAGGCAGCAGUAGGGAAUCUUCGGCAAUGGACGAAAGUCUGACCGAGCAACGCCGCGUGAGUGAAGAAGGUUUUCGGAUCGUAAAACUCUGUUGUUAGAGAAGAACAAGGACGUUAGUAACUGAACGUCCCCUGACGGUAUCUAACCAGAAAGCCACGGCUAACUACGUGCCAGCAGCCGCGGUAAUA
Molecule: ribosomal RNA, 195 nt
Filed under: uncultured bacterium
Lineage: Bacteria
Description: partial 16S ribosomal RNA
Rfam family: Bacterial small subunit ribosomal RNA
Source: RNAcentral